CAUAGACAGCAAUUAAGGAACUGGAGGCCAGCAGGAGGUCAGAGAGCCUUCCUCAGUGAAAACAGGGAUUGUUGGCCGUGCACAACACUCCCUUUUUUCCUUGUGGUGAAUAGGAGAUUUGCUUAGAGCUGAUGACUUAUGCCUUUCUUACAACUUAUGCAGUUAGCAAGCGACUGGGGAAUCGGGCAGCAGGCAGAGAGGCUAAUUGAAUCCAGUGUCUUAACUUUCUUCUUCUUCGGAUGUUGGGCUGUGACGGUGGAGGCUGCCUGAUCAUGUAACUGCAGAGAACAUGUUCGAGGAGCACCCGAUCCUGACUUUGAGAUUACAGACUUAAAGGAUCU
This 341-nucleotide long non-coding RNA is filed under the name Marmota monax (woodchuck). Lineage: Eukaryota; Metazoa; Chordata; Mammalia; Rodentia; Sciuridae. The record is from RNAcentral.